AACAUCUUUAUUUUAUUUUUAUGUGGUGCUGAGGAUCGAACUCAACGACCUACGCAUGCCAGGCGAGUGCGCUACUUCUUGAGCCACAUCCCCAGCCCUUUAACAGAUAUUUUGAGGAAGGGAAUUGAGAGUCCACAUGAGUAACAGUCUCAUGGGGCACUUGUGCAGCUUGUGGGGAGCAUGUGUUGCUGUAUGUCCACUACAUGUGAGGGACUCACAGAGGAACAGCAUAUACAAAGUUGUCAUAUUCUCCAUUAUUUCAGUCCAGUGGGUAUUCAAAAAACUUUACAGAAAACUCAACAGCAGGAGAAAGAGUUUCACUUGGAACUCAGAAGACACAAGAGGAAAGGUGUGUCCAUGGCACAGUCCAAGGUAUGAGAAGAGCGCAACCUGUUUUGAAAACCGCUACUACUGAGGCUUCAUUGCAAGUUCCGCAUCCACCAAGCCUCUAAGGCGCUGGCUCAGCGCAGAGUUAUUAAAGCUCUCGCCGCGAGAGCCGCCAACAGGAAAUACGCCAUCAUCAGGCGCAACCGUCUUAGCCUCGGCGCAUGGGAAGGUGACGUACAGGUUGGAGAUAAUGGUGGCCCGCCGAGACCGAAUUUUCUUGGGUAUUCACAGCCGGGCGGGGCGUGGGUUGGCGUCACUCUCAAUUUCUGUGUUUUCGUGGUUAUUGGAGACGGACGUUUUAUUUAUAUUUUCCUCUUGUUCAUUCGUUUUCAUGUUUAGGGUGUCGCAUUUUAAAACAUGAAUUUGCAUUUGUUCUUGCUAAUAUACAUUAUUAAUACAAGUUUUAAAGAUUCAAAUAUUUGCUUGUGAUCCCACCAAUCUAUCACUUUUCUACAGAUUAUUUUUAAUGACAGAGACCAGAAACAAGGGAUUUUUAGAGCCUAACUGCCAAAGUGCAACAUGUUUCAUCUGAUUAUAUGGGCUUUGCUUAACCUAUCGUUUUAUAGCUGUUUGGAUUCUGGUGUGUGUGUGUGUGUGUGUGACUCAGAAUACAGAACAGGCAAGGAGGAAUUUAUAGCUGAGGAGCAGGUGGAAGUCAGUGGCUGGAAAAUUACUAAGUGGUAAUGGGUAUCAGAUAUCACUUCCUGGGGGUGGAGGAUGAGAAACCUAAUCAGAUAUCUAGGUGGGGGUGUCUUGCUAAACUGAGUUAGCAAGGCUGUUUUCUAAAACUGGAUUUUAUAAGGCAGUCUGCAGAUGGUCCUUGGGAAAGGUUCCAGAUCCUGAUUAAAAUUUGAUUAAGCCUAGAAUCUUUGUCAGUGUGAGGAUUAUUAUUAUUAUUUUAUGUAGUACUGGAGACCAAACAGCCAUGUUAGGCAAACACUCUAACACCAGCCCAGGAAUUCAAGUUUUUAUACAAUGUUCCAUGCCCCCAUCCCCUUUCCAAGGAAC
RNAcentral lists this long non-coding RNA (1395 nucleotides) under Ictidomys tridecemlineatus (thirteen-lined ground squirrel). RNAcentral's name for it is "lncRNA (ENSSTOG00000031217.1)". Lineage: Eukaryota; Metazoa; Chordata; Mammalia; Rodentia; Sciuridae. The record is from RNAcentral.